AUGCUCGGUAACUCAAAGUUCCGGCGCCUCAGGAUGGAUCUGCGGCCGAUUAGGUUGUUGUUGGGGUAAUGGCCCAACAAGCCGAUAAUCGGUACGGGUUGUGGGAGCAAGAGCCCGGAGUUGGAUUCUGAGACACGAAUCCAGGCCCUACGGGGCGCAGCAGGCGCGAAAACUUUACAAUGCGGGCAACCGUGAUAAGGGAACCUCGAGUGCCUGUAUAUGCAGGCUGUCCAGGUGUCUAAAACACACCUGAAGAAAGGGCCGGGCAAGACCGGUGCCAGCCGCCGCGGUAAUACCGGCGGCUCGAGUGGUGGCCACUUUUAUUGGGCUUAAAGCGUUCGUAGCUGGGUUGUUAAGUCUCUUGGGAAAUCCGGCGGCUCAACCGUCGGGCGUCUAAGAGAUACUGGCGAUCUUGGAACCGGGAGAGGUGAGGGGUACUUCGGGGGUAGGAGUGAAAUCCUGUAAUCCUCGAGGGACCACCUGUGGCGAAGGCGCCUCACCAGAACGGCUUCGACAGUGAGGGACGAAAGCUGGGGGAGCAAACCGGAUUAGAUACCCGGGUAGUCCCAGCCGUAAACGA
This 580-nucleotide ribosomal RNA is filed under the name uncultured archaeon. RNAcentral's name for it is "bacterial SSU rRNA". It matches the Rfam family "Archaeal small subunit ribosomal RNA", at positions 175 to 760 of the family's 1478-position model. The record is from RNAcentral.